GAUGAACGCUGGCGGCGUGCCUAAUACAUGCAAGUCGAGCGAACAGACGAGGAGCUUGCUCCUCUGACGUUAGCGGCGGACGGGUGAGUAACACGUGGAUAACCUACCUAUAAGACUGGGAUAACUUCGGGAAACCGGAGCUAAUACCGGAUAAUAUAUUGAACCGCAUGGUCCAAUAGUGAAAGACGGUUUUGCUGUCACUUAUAGAUGGAUCCGCGCCGCAUUAGCUAGUUGGUAAGGUAACGGCUUACCAAGGCAACGAUGCGUAGCCGACCUGAGAGGGUGAUCGGCCACACUGGAACUGAGACACGGUCCAGACUCCUACGGGAGGCAGCAGUAGGGAAUCUUCCGCAAUGGGCGAAAGCUUGACGGAGCAACGCCGCGUGAGUGAUGAAGGUCUUCGGAUCGUAAAACUCUGUUAUUAGGGAAGAACAAAUAUGUAAGUAACUAUGCACGUCUUGACGGUACCUAAUCAGAAAGCCACGGCUAACUACGUG
This 497-nucleotide ribosomal RNA is filed under the name uncultured bacterium. RNAcentral's name for it is "partial 16S ribosomal RNA". It matches the Rfam family "Bacterial small subunit ribosomal RNA", at positions 28 to 507 of the family's 1533-position model. The record is from RNAcentral.